RNAcentral lists this transfer RNA (67 nucleotides) under Cryptotermes cavifrons. RNAcentral describes it as "tRNA-Asn". The record is from RNAcentral. Lineage: Eukaryota; Metazoa; Arthropoda; Insecta; Blattodea; Kalotermitidae. RNAcentral also lists the same sequence under 1 other name.
UUGGUUGAAACCAAAAAGAGGUAUAUCACUGUUAAUGAUAAAAAUGAACCACAAUAUUCCAACCAAG